This 253-nucleotide ribosomal RNA is filed under the name uncultured bacterium. RNAcentral's name for it is "partial 16S ribosomal RNA". It matches the Rfam family "Bacterial small subunit ribosomal RNA", at positions 524 to 776 of the family's 1533-position model. The record is from RNAcentral.
UACGGAGGGUGCAAGCGUUAUCCGGAUUCACUGGGUUUAAAGGGUGCGUAGGUGGGCAGGUAAGUCAGUGGCGAAAUCUCUGGGCUUAACCCAGAAACUGCCGUUGAUACUAUCUGUCUUGAAUAUAGUGGAGGUGAGCGGAAUAUGUCAUGUAGCGGUGGAAUGCUUAGAUAUGACAUAGAACACCCAUUGCGAAGGCAGCUCGCUACACUAUCAUUGACACUGAGGCACGAAAGCGUGGGGAUCAAACAGG